Molecule: ribosomal RNA, 497 nt
Filed under: uncultured bacterium
Lineage: Bacteria
Description: partial 16S ribosomal RNA
Rfam family: Bacterial small subunit ribosomal RNA
Source: RNAcentral
GAUGAACGCUGGCGGCGUGCCUAAUACACGCAAGUCGAGCGAACAGACGAGGAGCUUGCUCCUCUGACGUUAGCGGCGGACGGGUGAGUAACACGUGGAUAACCUACCUAUAAGACUGGGAUAACUUCGGGAAACCGGAGCUAAUACCGGAUAAUAUAUUGAACCGCAUGGUUCAAUAGUGACAGACGGUUUUGCUGUCACUUAUAGAUGGAUUCGCGCCGCAUUAGCUAGUUGGUAAGGUAAAGGCUUACCAAGGCAACGAUGAGUAGCCGACCUGAGAGGGUGAUCAGCCACACUGGAACUGAGACACGGUCCAGACUCCUACGGGAGGCAGCAGUAGGGAAUUUUCGACAAUGGGCGAAAGCCUGACGGAGCAAUGCCGCGUGAGUGAUGAAGGUCUUCGGAUCGUAAAGCUCUGUUGUUAGGAAAGAACAAAUGUGUAAUAAUCUAGGCGCGUCAUGACGGUACCUGAACAGAAAGCACCGGCUAACUACGUG